UGGGGAAUAUUGCGCAAUGGGCGAAAGCCUGACGCAGCAACGCCGUGUGAGGGAUGAAGGCUUUCGGGUCGUAAACCUCUGUCAGAAGGGAAGAACGGGUAAUGGUCUAAUAGGCCGUUAUUUUGACGGUACCUUCAGAGGAAGCACCGGCUAACUCCGUGCCAGCAGCCGCGGUAAUACGGAGGGUGCAAGCGUUAUUCGGAAUUACUGGGCGUAAAGCGCACGUAGGCCGCUUUGUAAGUCAGGGGUGAAAUCCCACGGCUCAACCGUGGAACUGCCCUUGAAACUGCAGAGCUCGAAUCCUGGAGAGGGUGGCGGAAUUCCUGGUGUAGGAGUGAAAUCCGUAGAUAUCAGGAGGAACACCGGUGGCGAAGGCGGCCACCUGGACAGGUAUUGACGCUGAGGUGCGAAAGUGUGGGGAGCAAACA
RNAcentral lists this ribosomal RNA (428 nucleotides) under uncultured bacterium. Its description in RNAcentral is "bacterial SSU rRNA". It matches the Rfam family "Bacterial small subunit ribosomal RNA", at positions 355 to 774 of the family's 1533-position model. The record is from RNAcentral.